This is a small nuclear RNA of Rattus norvegicus (Norway rat), 63 nucleotides long. Ensembl annotates it as U7 small nuclear RNA. The record is from Ensembl. NCBI's taxonomy places the organism in Eukaryota, Metazoa, Chordata, Mammalia, Rodentia, Muridae.
AACUAACCAGAGAGCUUUUAAAUUUUUUCUAGCAGGUUUUCUGACUUUGUUCAGAAAAUCCAA